UUGGACCGUGUUUUCUGGAGAUUUUCCCCAGGGAACGAUGGAGAGGUUUCUUGAGAACAAGGUAGAGGUGGCCAAUCAAUGGUAAACUGGGAAAAGGUAUUGGAGGAUGGUUUUGAAACUUGUGGAACAAGUGGAUGGUGAUUGAAUAAAGGGCUAAAAAGAGGAGGAUUUGCAGAAACAUGGUGACUAGCCUCGUGAAUUAUGAUGGAUUUCCGUUCUAAACGAGAAUAAUAGCAUUUUCUGUCCCAGGCAGGAUUAUUUAGGGUUGUGAAUUGGGAAAAAUGUAGUCAACUAUGAAGUCUUUUCUUUCUUCGAGAAGACACAAUUGUUAAUCCUUGGGCAGAUUUGACAAAUGUUACAAAGUGUUAGAAAUGAUGAAAAAGAUAGUGCAACGCUUUUGUCAAACUCAUUUAUUAAGGAAUGCAUUUCCCUUCUAGAUAUUCUUUGGGGCCACACAACUUCUAGAUAUUCAACAUUUGGAAAAACUCAAAGAGCUAAAGAGACACGACAAAAGGUGGGUUGCCAUGGUUUUAUAGGAUCAAAUUUGAUUCAAAUUUUUUAUAAUAUAUAUUAUAAAAUUUUAAAAUUAAAAUUAAUUUAAUGGAAAUCAAAUAUUAUUAAUUUAUUCAAUUCAUCGAAUUUUAAAUUUAAUUAUUUUAUUUUUUAUAAUAAAAUUUUAAUAUAAUUUUAAUAUAUUUAAAUAUAAAAUAAUUAUUUUAACUUUAUAAAAUUAAAAAUAUAUAUAAAUUAAUAAAAAAUAUAAUUCGAUUCAAUUUUUUUUUUUAAUUUCUUACUUCUCAAUCCUAAAUCUUUUGCAUUUAAUAUAUAUAUAUAUGUAUGUGUUUUAAUAUUUAAAUUUAAUUUAAAUUAAAUAAAAAAAUUUGAAUCAAACUAAAUAUUAUAAUUUUAAAUUAAUUUUUUGAUUUAUUCGAUUUUUUGUCACCUCUAUAUCAAAGAACCUUUUUUUAUACUUUGUCAUGGGUCAAUUCCAUGAGAGACCUUAGUGGAAGGUUUGUUUAACAAACGAUAUAAAUAAUAUUUUAAGAUUUAUUAAUAAAAUAAAUUCAUAAUAAAGAUAAAAAAUUUUGUUUAUAUUUAAUUUAUUUACAUCCAAAAGAGUAAAAAACAAAAUAUUCACAAAUAAUUCAUAAUCAGACUCGACUUUUAUUUAUUUAUAUCUGUUUAUUAAGUUUAAUAAACAGUUCAAAUAAUAUUUUAAUAAUUAUUGAUUAAAUGGACAAAUUAAAAAAAAAAUUCAUUGUGGUUUAUCUAAACCAUAAGAAGUCGUCCUUGGUGCUUUUUCUUGUCUCUUUCACAAUUCCAUUUCCACCAGGAACUCCAGUCACGAAGUCUCUAGCUGUGAUGGAAAUGCUUUGAUCGAUGAUUAUCUUGCAAGUUUUUAUUUUAAAAUGUUUGUAUUUCAGUAGGGGUAUUAGAAGAGGGCAAUAUUAUUUCCUCUUAACAAAGUUUGGUACUUACUGCAGUUGAUUUUUUUUUCUUAUUUCUUAAAAAAUAUGCAGUUAAAGUAUGAAUAUCAAGAAUACCGGUGAUCAUUGUUGUCAGGUAGAGGUUUGUAUGGGAUUUAUUCAAGCCUAGAUGCUUUGGUCUUGUAUGAAUCCAAUAUAAUCUGUUAUAGUUUUAAAUCCUGAAAAUUCAUGUAAAAGGCUAAACUCCAAUUAUAUCAGCAUCUUUGAAUCAUUCAAUUCCCAGGGGGUUGUUUAUCCCCAUUUCAUAGCAUAAAAAGAGAGAGAGAUAGAAGACGUUUAGAACCAAUUGUGCAAGUUUGGGAAGAAUAGCAUUGGUUUGCUUUCCAUUCAUUAGAGGUAGCCAAUCAAUGGUAAAAUGGGAAAAGGGAUUGGAGGAUGGUUUCGAAACUUGCGGAACAAAAGUGGGUGGUGAUUGAAUAAAGGGCUAAAAAGAGGAGGAUUUGCAGAAACAUGGUGAAUAGCUUCGUGAGUUUUGAUGGAUUUCCGUUCUGAACAAUAAUAAUAGCACUUGCUGUCCCAGGCAGGGUUACUUAGGGUUGUGAAUUGGGGAAAAUGUAGUCAACUAUGAAAUCUUUUUCUUUUUUUUUGGGAGAAGAAGAAAAGGAUUAAUCCUUGGGCAGAUUUGACAAAUGUUAGAAAAUGAUAGAACGGAUGAAAAAGAUUCAAACGAACUCAUCUGUGAAGGAAAGUUGGGUUUAUACAUUUCCCCUUCUAGAUAUCGUCUGGGGCCACAUCCCUUCUAGACAUUGAAUAUUGGAAAUUUUGUCAAUGGGCCAAAGUGGCACGAAAGAAAGUGGGGUGACGAUAGCUUCGAUCGGAU
RNAcentral lists this long non-coding RNA (2307 nucleotides) under Durio zibethinus. RNAcentral describes it as "long non-coding RNA (DZIB_LNC000005)". The record is from RNAcentral. Lineage: Eukaryota; Viridiplantae; Streptophyta; Magnoliopsida; Malvales; Malvaceae.